GGGCGCAAGCCUGAUGCAGCCAUGCCGCGUGUAUGAAGAAGGCCUUCGGGUUGUAAAGUACUUUCAGCAGUGAGGAAGGGGUGUAUGUUAAUAGCAUGCAUCUUUGACGUUAGCUGCAGAAGAAGCACCGGCUAACUCCGUGCCAGCAGCCGCGGUAAUACGGAGGGUGCGAGCGUUAAUCGGAAUUACUGGGCGUAAAGCGCAUGCAGGUGGUUUGUUAAGUCAGAUGUGAAAGCCCGGGGCUCAACCUCGGAAUUGCAUUUGAAACUGGCAGACUAGAGUACUGUAGAGGGGGGUAGAAUUUCAGGUGUAGCGGUGAAAUGCGUAGAGAUCUGAAGGAAUACCGGUGGCGAAGGCGGCCCCCUGGACAGAUACUGACACUCAGAUGCGAAAGCGUGGGGAGCAAACAGGAUUAGAUACCCUGGUAGUCCACGCCGUAAACGAUGUCUACUUGGAGGUUGUGGCCUUGAGCCGUGGCUUUCGGAGCUAACGCGUUAAGUAGACCGCCUGG
This 511-nucleotide ribosomal RNA is filed under the name Vibrio sp. SF0972-21. Its description in RNAcentral is "bacterial SSU rRNA". It matches the Rfam family "Bacterial small subunit ribosomal RNA", at positions 373 to 876 of the family's 1533-position model. Lineage: Bacteria; Pseudomonadati; Pseudomonadota; Gammaproteobacteria; Vibrionales; Vibrionaceae. The record is from RNAcentral.